Panicum virgatum (switchgrass) is the source of this 427-nucleotide long non-coding RNA. RefSeq lists it as uncharacterized. NCBI's taxonomy places the organism in Eukaryota, Viridiplantae, Streptophyta, Magnoliopsida, Poales, Poaceae. The record is from RefSeq and is a predicted model, not a curated record. The transcript is spliced from 2 exons.
GCCGAUCUAGAAGGACGUCCCGGACGACCAGAAGAUCCAGAAGGACUACCUCGACACCCGGAGGAUCCAGAAGGACAUACGGACGACUAGAAGACGUCAGAGAUCAAGGAAGACUACGAAGACCUAUCAGCCUGAUAGAUGCAGGAUCCGAGAGAAGGAGUCGACAGGACGACAAACGUGGAAGGAGUUAAGGAUGGCCCGAGCUACACUCCGAGCUGCCUGUGGAGAAGGAUCGAGAAGAUUCGUGAAGACGAAGUUUGCCUAGAAGACUAGAUAUCGUUUCCGCUUUCUGUUUGUUUUCUUUUAGCCCAAAGGGCUUGUACUCUGAGAUUCGUAUUACAAUCCUUUGGAUUAUAUAAUACAUAAACCCAUGUGAUGUUGUAAACGUGAGUCAUGUCUGUGAUAUCCAAUUGAAAUGAGUUAUGUA